GAUGAACGCUGGCGGCGUGCCUAAUACAUGCAAGUCGAGCGAACAGACGAUAAGCUUGCUCCUCUGACGUUAGCGGCGGACGGGUGAGUAACACGUAGAUAACCUACCUAUAUUACUUGGAUAACUUCGGGAAACCGGUGCUAAUACCGGCUAAUAUAUUCAACCGCAUGGUUCAAUAGUUCAUGACGGCUUUGCUGUCACUUUUAGAUGGAUUCGCGUCGCCUUAUCUACUUGGUAAGGUAACGGCCUACCAACGCUACGGUGCGUAGCCGACCUGAUGGGGGUAUCAGCCAAACUGGAACUGAGAAACGGUCCAAAAUCCUAAGGGAGGGAAGAGUGAGGAAAAUUGCCGAAAGGGCGGAAGGCUGAACGGACCAAAGCGCGUGGGGGAAGAAGGGCUUCGGGUUGGAAAACCCUUUUGAUGGGGAAAAAAAAAAGGGGGAAAAAACCAGGCAGUUCUGAAGGUAACCAAAGAAGAAGGCAAGGCUAAAUUAGGG
This 497-nucleotide ribosomal RNA is filed under the name uncultured bacterium. RNAcentral's name for it is "partial 16S ribosomal RNA". It matches the Rfam family "Bacterial small subunit ribosomal RNA", at positions 28 to 507 of the family's 1533-position model. The record is from RNAcentral.